AAAUGCAACCGUGCAUGUGCGGGGUUAGUGUGCACUUGCUGGUGAUGACAGUGGUGAGGGAGAUGGAUGGUGAUACUGUCCGGCUAUGUGCACGAUGUGGUGGGAUACACAUGAGCUGGGUGAGAUGGGAUGUUCGGCUAUGUGCACGAUGUGGUGGGAUGCACAUGAGUUGGGUGAGAUGCACAUGAUGAAUCUUGAAAAUUUGUCGUUAUUUGCAAAUUGAUUUUAUUGUAACGAGAAACAUUCUGUGUAUACUGCCUUACUUAGAUAACUGUUGGAAAUUUCCUUUCUUUCUAAUUUCAUGCUGAAUACGGUUCCUUCAUUAUUAAAUGAUUUUACAACCAAGGGUUUAAUGGAGGGAUUUUAAUAAGAACUUGAACUAAAUGUUAUUGAUUUUAAAUAUGUGCAUCAUGUUUUUUAAACCAUUCCUUGUCGUUGCUUGUUCCCUUCCUAUGUUCACUCACUGAGUUUGUACUCACGUUUUUAAAAUUCAUGUUUUAAGUUUCUUGAGUUAAAGGUGAUUGGAUCUUAGGACAAGGUGCUCCUCCCUAUCCAUUGCUCGGUAGGUUUACCAUGACAUUAAAUGUUAGCAACCGUGACCAAAGUCACUCCGCUGACGAUCAAGGCCUAAUUUUGUGUAUAUGAAUACUUUAGGUGAAAUAUUAAGAUUCACUUGUCAAGCUAUAUAUGUAUAUUAUGGUAGAUGAUGCCAUUAUGAAUGCAUAAUUGGGUUUUAUGAAUUGUUUUCAAAGAGACUAUAUUUGAACAUUAUGAAUCUUGGGUUUUAAAGGAAUAUGAAUUACUAUAUAAGAUUAUACAAAGAAGCUUGCUUUGGCUUAGUGGG
Molecule: long non-coding RNA, 844 nt
Filed under: Theobroma cacao (cacao)
Lineage: Eukaryota; Viridiplantae; Streptophyta; Magnoliopsida; Malvales; Malvaceae
Description: long non-coding RNA (TCAC_LNC005027)
Source: RNAcentral